This is a long non-coding RNA of Oryctolagus cuniculus (rabbit), 1806 nucleotides long. Lineage: Eukaryota; Metazoa; Chordata; Mammalia; Lagomorpha; Leporidae. The record is from Ensembl.
GGAGGAGAGGGACCCCGGGCUGCAGCCAAGGCCCUCCGGUCCGCCGGCACUCCUCAGUCACCUCCGGCACCUCCAUCACCUCCGUCAGUCACCUCCGUCACCUGCGUCACCUCCAUCACCUCCGUCACCUCAGGCACCUCCGUCAGUCACCUCAGGCACCUCCAUCACCUCCGUCAGUCACCUGCAUCACCUCCGUCACCUCUGUCAGUCACCUCAGUCACCUUAGGCACCUCUAUCAGUCACCUCCGUCACCUGCGUCACCUCAGGCACCUCCAGCAGUCACCUCCGUCAUCUGCAUCACCUCCGUCACCUCAGUCACUUCCGUCACCUCAGGCACCUCCGUCAGUCACCUCCGUCAGUCACCUCCGUCACCUCAGUCACUUCUGUCACCUCGGGCACCUCUGUCAGUCACCUCCAUCACCUGAGUCACCUCCGUCAGUCACCUCCAUCACUUCUGUCAGUCACCUCCGUCAUCUCAGGCACCUCCGUCAGUCACCUCCAUCACUUCUGUCAGUCACCUCUGUCACCUCAGGCACCUCCAGCACCUCUGUCAGUCACCUCAGUCACCUGCGUCACCUCCGUCACCUCAUUCACCUCCGUCACCUCAGGCACCUCCGUCAGUCACCUCCGUCAGUCACCUCCAUCACCUCAGGCACCUCCAUCAAUCACCUCUGUCACCUCCAUCAGUCACUUCUGUCACCUCCAUCACCUCCGUCAGUCACUUCAGUCACCUCUGUCACCUCCGGCACCUCCGUCAGUCACCUCAGUCACCUCAGUCACCUCUGUCAGUCACCUCUGUCACCUCUGUUACCUCUGUCAGUCACCUCCAUCACCUCAGGCACCUCCAUCAGUCACCUCUGUCACCUCCAUCAGUCACCUCUGUCACCUCCAUCACCUCCGUCAGUCACUUCAGUCACCUCUGUCACCUCCGGCACCUCCGGCAGUCACCUCCGUCAGGCACCUCUAUCAGUCACCUCUGUCACCUCUGUCAGUCACCUCCGUCACUUCUGUCAGUCACCUCCGUCACCUCAGGUACCUCCAUCAGUCACCUCUGGCACCUCCGUCAGUCACCUCAGUCACCUAAGUCACCUCUAUCAGUCACCUCGUCACUUCUGUCAGUCACCUCUGUCACCUCAGGCACCUCCAUCAGUCACCUGUCACCUCCAUCACCUCUGUCAGUCACCUCUGUCACUUCUGUCAGUCACCUCCAUCAGUCAUCUCUGGCACCUCCGUCAGUCACCUCAGUCACCUCAGGCACCUCCAUCAGUCACCUCCGUCAGUCACCUCAGUCACCUCUAUCAGUCACCUCUGUCACCUCCAUCACCUCUGUCAGUCACCUCUGUCAUCUCAGUCACCUCUGUCACCUCAGGCACCUCCGGCACCUCUGUCAGUCACCUCCAUCACCUCAGGCGCCUCCAUCAAUCACCUCUGUCACCUCAGUCACCUCUGUCAGUCACCUCCGUCACUUCUGUCAGUCACCUCCAUCAGUCACCUCCGUCACCUCAGGCACCUCCAUCAGUCACCUCCGUUGCCUCAGUCACCUCCAUCAGUCACCUCUGUCACCUCCAUCACCUCCAUCAGUCACCUCAGUCACCUCUGUCACCUCCGGCACCUCCGGCACCUCCGGCAGUCACCUCAGUCACCUCCGUUGCCUCAGUCACCUCCAUCAGUCACCUCGUCACCUCUGUCACCUCAGUUGCCUCAGGCACCGGCAUGGUGCGCGUGAAGCUGCGAAGACGAGUGCCGCUAACAGCCGCAGAGUCAGACGAGAAAGGACACAGAGGAGCGAGCCUGUGUCCUGCCUGA